ACAUCUACCGGGUGUAGCAGUGUAGAGAUCGACCUGUAACUGUUCAGCUCCGUGCCCUCGCCGACCUCGCGGGGAGCAUUCCUCGCUUGCCGACGGCAUGUGCUGCCGCGAGACUGCGGGAGCUGCGAGCAUGUGUAUGGCGGUUCUCAACCACCGUUCCCACUGGCGACACCGCGACACGGCACUGGUUCGCCUAGAUCGAAACAUUAGCUUGUCCUCUCCUGGUAGCGGCGGCAAGAUGCGGUGAUUUGUUGUCCUUAGAUUAUCUUCCUCCGAGGCGAUUUGUUCUGCCUGAACUCCCCAAACGCCAAUCCUGCCACGGGAUUAUCUCUGGAAAAUUUAAUCAUCUGAAAUUCAAAUCACAGUGUAAAUCUGUAAACACAAACGCACAUGAGAAGAAUAAAUCGUGUCGAAAUCGAAAUCGUGGAUUGAUUUUAUUUUCAGGCUCCCGCAGACGAACUUGCAGAAAAGAAAGAAUUCUCUGAAGUCUGAAGCCGUGAUGGCCAUGGCCAUCGCCCAUCAGCAACCGCGCCUACGCGUUGCUUCUGGUGCUCCCUGUCGUGGCCGUGCUCCUCCGCGGAGAACCUGCCCACUCGUCGGCAGACUUACCUCUCGGCGGGCAGGCACUGUGCGGCUGCCUCCGGCGCUGUACCACCCGCGCUUCGCCGCGAAGGCGGUGGGGGGCCAGCUCCGGCGGUAGCCUGGCUUCGUCGCUAGUCCUCGUCCUUGGCGACGUCAAGGUUUGGGCCUCCACCAUAACGGCCACCGGAGGUGAAGGGGAUGACCAGAUGAGAUAGGGAGACAGGAGCAAGUGGACAGGAUAAAAGAUGGAUGGGGACCCACAUGUCCAGUCCAUGUCAUCGUACAAAUCAUGCCACGUAGGCGAUUUAAUGUAAGCUAACCAUGUUUUGGACCUCGGUGA
RNAcentral lists this long non-coding RNA (922 nucleotides) under Setaria italica (foxtail millet). RNAcentral describes it as "long non-coding RNA (SITA_LNC000745)". Lineage: Eukaryota; Viridiplantae; Streptophyta; Magnoliopsida; Poales; Poaceae. The record is from RNAcentral.